GUAACAGUUUCCGUAGGUGAACUGCGGAAGGAUCAUUGUUGAU
Molecule: ribosomal RNA, 43 nt
Filed under: Piper daguanum
Lineage: Eukaryota; Viridiplantae; Streptophyta; Magnoliopsida; Piperales; Piperaceae
Description: partial 18S ribosomal RNA
Source: RNAcentral